GUCCACGCCGUAAACGAUGGGUACUAGGUGUCUGGGGGAGCGACCCCCUGGGUGCCGGCGCUAACGCAUGAAGUACCCCGCCUGGGGAGUACGGCCGCAAGGCUGAAACUCAAAGGAAUUGACGGGGGCCCGCACAAGCGGUGGAGCAUGUGGUUUAAUUCGACGCAACGCGAAGAACCUUACCUAGGCUUGACAUGCAGGAGAAAGCUCGCAGAAACGUGAGCCCCUCUUCGGAGUUCCUGCACAGAUGCUGCAUGGCUGUCGU
Molecule: ribosomal RNA, 265 nt
Filed under: uncultured bacterium
Lineage: Bacteria
Description: partial 16S ribosomal RNA
Rfam family: Bacterial small subunit ribosomal RNA
Source: RNAcentral